GAGUUUGAUCCUGGCUCAGAUUGAACGCUGGCGGCAGGCCUAACACAUGCAAGUCGAGCGGUAGAGAGAAGCUUGCUUCUCUUGAGAGCGGCGGACGGGUGAGUAAUGCCUAGGAAUCUGCCUGGUAGUGGGGGAUAACGCUCGGAAACGGACGCUAAUACCGCAUACGUCCUACGGGAGAAAGCAGGGGACCUUCGGGCCUUGCGCUAUCAGAUGAGCCUAGGUCGGAUUAGCUAGUUGGUGAGGUAAUGGCUCACCAAGGCGACGAUCCGUAACUGGUCUGAGAGGAUGAUCAGUCACACUGGAACUGAGACACGGUCCAGACUCCUACGGGAGGCAGCAGUGGGGAAUAUUGGACAAUGGGCGAAAGCCUGAUCCAGCCAUGCCGCGUGUGUGAAGAAGGUCUUCGGAUUGUAAAGCACUUUAAGUUGGGAGGAAGGGCAGUAAAUUAAUACUUUGCUGUUUUGACGUUACCGACAGAAUAAGCACCGGCUAACUCUGUGCC
RNAcentral lists this ribosomal RNA (505 nucleotides) under uncultured bacterium. Its description in RNAcentral is "bacterial SSU rRNA". It matches the Rfam family "Bacterial small subunit ribosomal RNA", at positions 9 to 509 of the family's 1533-position model. The record is from RNAcentral.